This 250-nucleotide ribosomal RNA is filed under the name uncultured bacterium. RNAcentral's name for it is "partial 16S ribosomal RNA". It matches the Rfam family "Bacterial small subunit ribosomal RNA", at positions 524 to 773 of the family's 1533-position model. The record is from RNAcentral.
UACGUAGGUGGCAAGCGUUGUCCGGAUUUAUUGGGCGUAAAGCGCGCGCAGGUGGUUUCUUAAGUCUGAUGUGAAAGACCACGGCUUAACCGUGGAGGGUCAUUGGAAACCGGGAGACUUGAGUACAGAAGAGGAAAGUGGAAUUCCAAGUGUAGCGGUGAAAUGCGUAGAGAUUUGGAGGAACACCAGUGGCGAAGGCGACUUUCUGGUCUGUAACUGACACUGAGGCGCGAAAGCGUGGGGAGCAAAC